UGCUGUAUGCCGCCGCCGCCGCCGCCGCCUCCCUGCACUCGGUUGGCAACGCGACACAGAUCGCAUCAACGCACUGCAUACAAACAGCGAUGAGUUCGUCCCUCGGCAAGGCCCUCCAACGCUCGAAGCGCGCGACGGAGCGGCAGGGGCGGCGCAACUACCGCGACGCCUUGGAGAAUGAGCGCAACGCCGCCCUGGAGGCGGAGCUGCACCAGCAGGAGAUCGGCCGCUCCAAGACACAGCUCAAGUCCAUCUGGGAGACGAACGACCUGGAGAACUUUUUAUCCAUCGCUGAUGCGCGCGAGGAGGGCUACUUUGCUGAGCGCGACGUGCGCGUCGUCAUUGGCGGCCGCGUGCACGUCGUGCAGCACGACAAGGUCGUCCCGCAGCAGAUGCCGACAGACGAGGCUCACGUGGACUGGCUGAAGCUAAGCGAGUUGCUGACGAUUCCGAAGCGACCGGAGUGGGACUGCAAAAUGUCCGCCGACGAGUUGCAGGCGGCGGAGAAGAAGGCCUUUGCCGACUGGCGCCGCUCCCUUGCGCAGAUGGAGGAGGAGCACAAGGUGCUGUUGACGCCGUACGAGCGCAACCUCGAGGUGUGGCGGCAGCUGUGGCGCGUCGCGGAGCGUGCCGACGUCGUCUCGGUCAUCCUAGACGCGCGCAAUCCGCUCAUGUUCCGCAGCUUCGACUUUGAAAAGUACGUACGGAGCACCAAAAACAGCAAAGGAGAGCCGAAGAAGGUGGUGCUGCUGCUCAACAAGUCGGACCUACUGACCGAGGCGCAGCGGCGGGCCUGGGCAGCCUACUUUCAGCAGCGCGGUGACGACUUCUUCUUCUUCUCUGCCAAGCCACUGCAGCCUCUCACCGCCGACGGCGCCGCCGCUGCUGCCGCCUCCUCGCACGCCGUGACCAGCAACGACGACGAGGAUGAGCUGGAGGAGGACGGCGAUGUCCCGCUUGACUCGGACGACGUGCAGCUCACGGCGGCGCAGAAGGCGGCCCUGGACAAGGUGAUGAGGCACAAAAAAGAGAAGACACGGCACCAGAAGAAGACGUUGCGGGCGCCGGUCGAGGUCAAGAAUCCGUACGAGCUCUCCGCGAUGCGCGAGGCCCUGAAGAGGCAGGCGCACGCGCCGAAGGUAAAGGAGGAGAGGCCGCUCACCGAGGAGGAACUGGCGCGUAACUCACGCACGGCGGCGGCGGCAUCGGCCGCGAAACGCGAGCCGUGGACCGUGCUCGAUCCGGUGCAGCUGCUGGACCAGUUCGCCCUUCUCCGCGAGGAAGCUGGGGUGACAGACAUGAACACGCCGCUGAUGGUCGGCCUUGUCGGCUACCCGAACGUGGGCAAGUCAUCCACCAUCAACGCCAUCCUCGGCUGCAAGAAAGUUGUGGUGAGUGCCACACCGGGCAAGACGAAGCACUUCCAGACGCUCAUGAUUCCCAACGAGCGCCGCGUGGCGCUAUGCGACUGCCCUGGGCUCGUCUUCCCCUCGUUUGCAACGACGAAGGCGCAGAUGGUAUGUGACGGCAUCCUCCCCGUUGACACGGCCACCGACACGCUGGAGGCGACGGCCACCAUCUGCCGCCGCCUGCCUCGCCCGGUGUUGGAGGGGGAGCUCAAUAUAUCACUACUGGCGGAGGACGACAUAGACGAGAGCGACUCCCUCGCCGAGCGGCUGCUGCAUGCGCUAGCACGCCGACGCGGCUACAUGGCGUCGCACGACCGUCCCAACAAGGCACGUGCGGGCAAGGAGCUGCUGAAGCUGUACGUGGACGGGUAUUUUGUGUACGUCGAGCCACCGCCUACCUACCGCCCCGACGCGGCGGCGCUGUCGCUGGACAGGUACACGGAACAGCAUGCCUCCGCCUCACCUGCGGCUGCGUCGUCUGCCCGCGGCGGCGGGGCGGCAGCAGAGGAGGGUGAUGAAGACUGGGAAGACGACGACGACGCGUCCGGGCACGAGCUGAACAGCGAGGAGGAAGAUGCGUGGGCCGAUCUCGACUCCGCCAACGAUGACCGAGCGUUGAGUGAGCCGGGGAACGGCGACAGCUACUCCGUCGAGAUGGACCUCGAGGACGCGGCGCCGCCCAUGUUCUAUGCCCGGCCGCAUGCGCUGCGCAGCACCUUCACCCGCUAUGAGCUCUUCAACAUGGAGGCGAACGAGGCCCGCAUAAGCGUGCUGAAGAAGGCGGAGCGGCGCCGCAAGAAGCGCACGAACCACCAGCUCGAGCCCGACACGUACACAUUUGUGAACCGCCAAGGUGAGGUGGAGCUGCGUAUCGAUGAUGACGACGGCGUGCUGGAGCUGGUGACGCCGACCGGUGGGCCGGUGCGGCCAGCGACGAAGGCAAAGCCCAAGUCGAAGCGCCAGCAGCGCCGCGAGCUGAAGCAGAUGGGCGUAGGUCCGUCGAACCGCUACGGGCAGCGUAAAGGCAUCGUGGAGUACUGACCGCCGGUGCCUUUGCUCUGUCUCGCAGCAGGGGUCUUUCUUGGGUGUCUCUGGUGCAGUUGUGUGUGUGUGUGUGUGUGUGUGUGUGACACGGUUAACAUGACCUCCCUCUGUCACCCCUGUGCGUGUGUGCGCGCACACACGGGUGCGCUACCUGUAAAAGGCGUUAAGGGGCUAAACCGAAAACGAAACUGAUAGGAAUGACAAGGAACGCGCCGCCCACGAGCGCAUGCGUGUGCCGCGCAUCCGCUUGAUCUGAGAGAGCGACCGCCUUGGUCAGAACCAGUUAGAAUGGAGGCGGGCUUGCACCAUCGGCUGGGGCGAUCAGCAGUGCAGAAGUAGCCGAAAGUGCGUCUGAGUGUGUGUAUGUGUGUGUGUGUGUGCGGUUGGGUGUGUACUGCCUAGCGCCCCAUCGUCAGCCACUCAAUAUCCCCCUCCCCCCUCACCACCACCACCUCUACCGCAG
Molecule: unclassified non-coding RNA, 2916 nt
Filed under: Leishmania donovani
Lineage: Eukaryota; Euglenozoa; Kinetoplastea; Trypanosomatida; Trypanosomatidae
Description: gene:LdHU3.05.0240(CDS-product:Ferrous_iron_trans port_protein_B/50S_ribosome-binding_GTPase_putative)
Source: RNAcentral